UUUUGCCCAGACUCGAGGCAUCAAGACCCAGAGGACGAAGGUUUAAGGUGAGGGGGGAAAGAUUUAAAAGGAACCUGAGGGAAACAUUUUUACACAA
This is a long non-coding RNA of Amblyraja radiata (thorny skate), 97 nucleotides long. RefSeq lists it as uncharacterized. The record is from RefSeq and is a predicted model, not a curated record. NCBI's taxonomy places the organism in Eukaryota, Metazoa, Chordata, Chondrichthyes, Rajiformes, Rajidae. The transcript is spliced from 3 exons.